RNAcentral lists this ribosomal RNA (513 nucleotides) under Arthrobotrys polycephala. Its description in RNAcentral is "SSU rRNA". It matches the Rfam family "Eukaryotic small subunit ribosomal RNA", at positions 62 to 569 of the family's 1831-position model. Lineage: Eukaryota; Fungi; Ascomycota; Orbiliomycetes; Orbiliales; Orbiliaceae. The record is from RNAcentral.
GUUUGUCAGCUAGCAUCAGCCUGUAUACAGUGAAACUGCGAAUGGCUCAUUAAAUCAGUUAUCGUUUAUUUGAUAGUACCUUACUACUUGGAUAACCGUGGUAAUUCUAGAGCUAAUACAUGCUAAAAAUCCCGACCUCUGGAAGGGAUGUAUUUAUUAGAUAAAAAACCAAUGCCCUCGGGCUCCUUGGUGAUUCAUAAUAACUUAACGAAUCGCAUGGCCUUGCGCCGGCGAUGGUUCAUUCAAAUUUCUGCCCUAUCAACUUUCGAUGGUAGGAUAGUGGCCUACCAUGGUUUCAACGGGUAACGGGGAAUUAGGGUUCGAUUCCGGAGAGGGAGCCUGAGAAACGGCUACCACAUCCAAGGAAGGCAGCAGGCGCGCAAAUUACCCAAUCCCAAUUCGGGGAGGUAGUGACAAUAAAUACUGAUACAGGGCUCUUUUGGGUCUUGUAAUUGGAAUGAGUACAAUUUAAAUCUCUUAACGAGGAACAAUUGGAGGGCAAGUCUGGCCCCC